GUGCUGGCUUUGGCAGCACGUAUACUAAAAUGAUACAGAGAAGAUUAGCAUGGCCCCUGGGCAAGGAUGACACGCAGGAAGCUGAGACAGGAGAAUUACUU
This 101-nucleotide small nuclear RNA is filed under the name Chinchilla lanigera (long-tailed chinchilla). The record is from RNAcentral. Lineage: Eukaryota; Metazoa; Chordata; Mammalia; Rodentia; Chinchillidae.